This 337-nucleotide ribosomal RNA is filed under the name uncultured bacterium. RNAcentral's name for it is "partial 16S ribosomal RNA". It matches the Rfam family "Bacterial small subunit ribosomal RNA", at positions 338 to 668 of the family's 1533-position model. The record is from RNAcentral.
CCUACGGGAGGCAGCAGUAGGGAAUUUUCGUCAAUGGGGGGAACCCUGAACGAGCAAUGCCGCGUGAGUGAAGAAGGUCUUCGGAUCGUAAAGCUCUGUUGUAAGAGAAAAACGGGUAUCAUAGGGAAUGAUGAUAUCGUGAUGGUAUCUUACCAGAAAGCCACGGCUAACUACGUGCCAGCAGCCGCGGUAAUACGUAGGUGGCAAGCGUUAUCCGGAAUGAUUGGGCGUAAAGGGUGCGUAGGCGGGAAAAUAAGUCUGAAGUAAAAGGCGUUGGCCUAACCCACGUCAGCCUUGGAAACUGGUAAGCCAGCGUGGCAGAGAGGUUAGUGGAAUU